This 305-nucleotide ribosomal RNA is filed under the name uncultured bacterium. Its description in RNAcentral is "bacterial SSU rRNA". It matches the Rfam family "Bacterial small subunit ribosomal RNA", at positions 333 to 638 of the family's 1533-position model. The record is from RNAcentral.
GUAUUCCUACGGGGGGCAGCAGUGGGGAAUAUUGCACAAUGGGGGAAACCCUGAUGCAGCGACGCCGCGUGAGUGAAGAAGUAUUUCGGUACGUAAAGCUCUAUCAGCAGGGAAGAAAGAAAGUCCUUUGGACUUUGGACGGUACCUGACCAAGAAGCCCCGGCUAACUACGUGCCAGCAGCCGCGGUAAUACGUAGGGGGCAAGCGUUAUCCGGAUUUACUGGGUGUAAAGGGAGCGUAGACGGCGCGGCAAGUCUGAAGUGAAAGGCAGGGGCUUAACCCCUGAACUGCUUUGGAAACUGCCA